GAUUUUAGUAAAUAACAAGGGUCAAAUUGGUAAUUUUUCGUACAUUCACCGCCAAAAUAAAGAGCCUUGAGUACUAGAAGAAAAGCACCUAGACCUAACAAAAUUAAGUGAAUACCCAAAAUUGUAGUCAUUUUAUUUCAAGAAAGUAUAGGUUUCUCCCUA
This 162-nucleotide antisense RNA is filed under the name Triticum aestivum (bread wheat). Its description in RNAcentral is "Antisense RNA which regulates isiA expression". It matches the Rfam family "Antisense RNA which regulates isiA expression". Lineage: Eukaryota; Viridiplantae; Streptophyta; Magnoliopsida; Poales; Poaceae. The record is from Rfam by way of RNAcentral.